This 82-nucleotide small nuclear RNA is filed under the name Cervus elaphus hippelaphus. It matches the Rfam family "U4 spliceosomal RNA". From Rfam's summary of the family: U4 small nuclear RNA (U4 snRNA) is a component of the major U2-dependent spliceosome. The structure of U4 snRNA from yeast and human has been reported. Lineage: Eukaryota; Metazoa; Chordata; Mammalia; Artiodactyla; Cervidae. The record is from RNAcentral.
AGCUUCGCGCAGUGGCAGUAUCAUAGCCAGUGAGGUUUAUCCGAGGUGCGAUUAUUGCUAAUUGAAAAAUAUGUCUCCCAGU